Long non-coding RNA from Hypanus sabinus (Atlantic stingray), 663 nucleotides. RefSeq lists it as uncharacterized. Lineage: Eukaryota; Metazoa; Chordata; Chondrichthyes; Myliobatiformes; Dasyatidae. The record is from RefSeq and is a predicted model, not a curated record. The transcript is spliced from 2 exons.
AGGUGAAUAGGGUUGAAGCACAAAUAAUCUAUGAUCUCUUCUCAUUUUCAGUACUCAUUGACAGUUAGAUUGACUUAAAACUUGUUGCCAUGAAAGAGUCAACAGCAUUUCUUCUGACUGCUCUCAGGCCAGGGUUAAAUUGCAAGUAAUAAUUUACCUGUGACUGGUUAAAAGUCUGUGUUACCUUUAACUACAUAUAAUGGAUCACAGAAUUUACUCCUGUUCGGCCUUACCUUUUACCUUGCAAGAGGUGCAUUCUCAAUCAGUGGAUUUGGCAUGGAUCCAAUGCCAAAUGAGGUAAUGGCUCUGAAAUAAAACAGAUUACUUCCUCCAAGAACUUGGCGCUUUAGACGGAAGGUGGGAAGAGGAGCACUGGCUCAGGAGGUGAAAAAAUGUAGACAAGGAAAAAUUGUGUUCGUAAACCACCCUUCAAGAUGUGAGGUUCUGCUAAAUUGUUUUAAAGGCCGCUGGAGGUCCUGGUUGUGGUGAACUACAUAUACCUGUCUGGACACGUCCCCUGCUGACUGCUCCUGUGGCUCCUCCCACAGACCCCUGUAUAAAGAUGUUGGAGGUCUGAGCCCGGCCUCUCUGUCUCCAGGAUGUAGUAUGGUGGUCACUCACUGCUUGUUCUUUCUUCCAGUCAAUAAAAGCCGAUACCUCGCU